GUUUUGGUUCCCCUCCUCAACCUACCCAAU
RNAcentral lists this non-coding RNA (30 nucleotides) under Rattus norvegicus (Norway rat). Lineage: Eukaryota; Metazoa; Chordata; Mammalia; Rodentia; Muridae. The record is from RNAcentral.